UUCGACAAGAUGUCGAUAAAAAGCUAAUGC
This 30-nucleotide small RNA is filed under the name Bombyx mori (domestic silkworm). RNAcentral describes it as "ovarian small RNA-37369". The record is from RNAcentral. Lineage: Eukaryota; Metazoa; Arthropoda; Insecta; Lepidoptera; Bombycidae.